Non-coding RNA from Cricetulus griseus (Chinese hamster), 459 nucleotides. Lineage: Eukaryota; Metazoa; Chordata; Mammalia; Rodentia; Cricetidae. The record is from RefSeq and is a predicted model, not a curated record.
GGAGGGGGAGGGAGAGGGAAAGAGAAAUAAAUCUCAGCGCCUUCGUGCUUGAGAAUGUGAGGAGGAAACUCCAGAUGUGCCUUUGCGGCAGUAGGCAUUCCACGAACCUGGGAGCUCUCUCCAUUCCCAGCGUCCACAGGCUGGAAAGGCAAAGCCUAAACUGGGGUUUGGCAAUAAUAGGCACUGAAUGAAAGAGUGGGAAGUUCAUGGCUUGUGUGCAGAUGAAGGAACAGUUGCGAUUAAAGACAUCAGCAACACUGACAGAGGAAGGCACCUUCUGAAGUCUUCUACCCAAGCUUUUCUGGAAACUGUGAUGACAGCUCCUGGUGGGAAAAAUCACCAAUGAUCACAGUAUUGUCCUGCUUCUAGAAGAGAACCAAGGCUGGUGUCAGCUCUAGACUGAUUGUGCUCCAACUUUGUGUCCCUGUCUUUUGGAACCCCUUCAUCAUAUUCUGCAGG